RNAcentral lists this long non-coding RNA (262 nucleotides) under Elaeis guineensis (African oil palm). Its description in RNAcentral is "long non-coding RNA (EGUI_LNC029311)". Lineage: Eukaryota; Viridiplantae; Streptophyta; Magnoliopsida; Arecales; Arecaceae. The record is from RNAcentral.
AAAUAUUUUAGGCUUUACUCAAACAUUAUAGUAUCUGGUUACUUUUUGCAUAUAAGUUGCCAUACGGAUCCGAACUCUUUUUCUGAUUUCAUCAAAUACAUCUAGAUCGAUUCUCAGUUGAUCUGAAUUACUUCCUUCAUGAAAUUUUUUUGUCCUGAUCGUUGGUAAGCCAAUCUCUAUCGGUAUUAUAGCUUUUGCUUUAAAAGUAUGUUAAAAAGGUGUUUCUCCGAUAGGCCUCCAAGGUGUAGUUCUAUAAGCCCAA